AGUGAACGCUGGCGGUAGGCCUAACACAUGCAAGUCGAACGGCAGCACAGUAAGAGCUUGCUCUUACGGGUGGCGAGUGGCGGACGGGUGAGGAAUACAUCGGAAUCUACUUUUUCGUGGGGGAUAACGUAGGUAAACUUACGCUAAUACAGCAUACUACCUACGGGUGAAAGCAGGGGAUCUUCGUACCUUGCGCGAUUGAAUGAGCCGAUGUCGGAUUAGCUAGUUGGCGGGGUAAAGGCCCACCAAGGCGACGAUCCGUAGCUGGUCUGAGAGGAUGAUCAGCCACACUGGAACUGAGACACGGUCCAGACUCCUACGGGAGGCAGCAGUGGGGAAUAUUGGACAAUGGGCGCAAGCCUGAUCCAGCCAUACCGCGUGGGUGAAGAAGGCCUUCGGGUUGUAAAGCCCUUUUGUUGGGAAAGAAAAGCAGCAGGUUAAUACCCCGCUGUUCUGACGGUACCCAAAGAAUAAGCACCGGCUAACUUCGUG
This 492-nucleotide ribosomal RNA is filed under the name uncultured bacterium. RNAcentral's name for it is "partial 16S ribosomal RNA". It matches the Rfam family "Bacterial small subunit ribosomal RNA", at positions 29 to 507 of the family's 1533-position model. The record is from RNAcentral.